RNAcentral lists this ribosomal RNA (466 nucleotides) under uncultured Streptococcus sp. RNAcentral describes it as "bacterial SSU rRNA". It matches the Rfam family "Bacterial small subunit ribosomal RNA", at positions 916 to 1382 of the family's 1533-position model. Lineage: Bacteria; Bacillati; Bacillota; Bacilli; Lactobacillales; Streptococcaceae. The record is from RNAcentral.
GGGGCCCGCACAAGCGGUGGAGCAUGUGGUUAAUUCGACGCAACGCGAAGAACCUUACCAGGGCUUGACAUCCCCUGACCGCGUAUGAAAGUACGUUUUCACCUUCGGGAGACAGGGAGACAGGUGGUGCAUGGUUGUCGUCAGCUCGUGUCGUGAGAUGUUGGGUUAAGUCCCGCAACGAGCGCAACCCCUAUUGUUAGUUGCCAUCAUUCAGUUGGGCACUCUAGCGAGACUGCCGGUAAUAAACCGGAGGAAGGUGGGGAUGACGUCAAAUCAUCAUGCCCCUUAUGACCUGGGCUACACACGUGCUACAAUGGUUGGUACAACGAGUUGCGAGUCGGUGACGGCGAGCUAAUCUCUUAAAGCCAAUCUCAGUUCGGAUUGUAGGCUGCAACUCGCCUACAUGAAGUCGGAAUCGCUAGUAAUCGCGGAUCAGCACGCCGCGGUGAAUACGUUCCCGGGCCUU